AGCGAACGCUGGCGGCAUGCCUAACACAUGCAAGUCGCACGGGGGGGCUUCGGCCUCCCAGUGGCGGACGGGUGAGGAACGCGUAGGGACCUGUCGAGGGGUGGGGGCUAACCGCGGGAAACUGCGGCUAAUACCGCAUGACGCCGCGGCGUGACAGCCGGGGCCAAAGGCGAAAGCCGCCCGCCGAGGGGCCUGCGUCCGAUUAGCUGGUUGGCGGGGUAGCGGCUCACCAAGGCGUCGAUCGGUAGCUGGUCUGAGAGGGUGAUCAGCCACACCGGGACUGAGACACGGCCCGGACUCCUACGGGAGGCAGCAGUGGGGAAUAUUGGACAAUGGGCGCAAGCCUGAUCCAGCAAUGCCGCGUGGGUGAAGAAGGUCUUCGGAUUGUAAAGCCCUUUUGGCGGGGACGAUGGUGACGGUACCCGCAGAAGAAGCCCCGGCUAACUUCGUG
Molecule: ribosomal RNA, 451 nt
Filed under: uncultured bacterium
Lineage: Bacteria
Description: partial 16S ribosomal RNA
Rfam family: Bacterial small subunit ribosomal RNA
Source: RNAcentral